RNAcentral lists this ribosomal RNA (328 nucleotides) under uncultured eukaryote. Its description in RNAcentral is "partial 18S ribosomal RNA". It matches the Rfam family "Eukaryotic small subunit ribosomal RNA", at positions 1470 to 1796 of the family's 1831-position model. The record is from RNAcentral.
CCCUUAGAUGUUCUGGGCCGCACACGCGCUACACUGAAGGAGGCAGCGUGUACUCCUGGAUCGAAAGAUUUGGGUAACCCGCGAAUCUCCUUCGUGCUAGGGAUUGAGGUUUGCAAUUAUCCUUCAUGAACGAGGAAUUCCCAGUAAGCGCAAGUCAUCAGCUUGCGUUGAUUACGUCCCUGCCCUUUGUACACACCGCCCGUCGCUACUACCGAUUGAAUGGUUUAGUGAGAUCUUCGGAUUGGAGUCCUCGGUGGCGGCGACGCCGCCUUGGGCAGCCGAGAAGUUGAGCUAACUGAAUUAUUUAGAGGAAGUAAAAGUCGUAACA